CCCAACUCUUCGCUUCACUUCACCUGUGCCUCCCUGUUCCGCGCACUUUGCAGGAGCCCGCCCGCCUUUCGGCCACCUCUGCCGCCUGCAGGGCACCUCCUCUAGCGCUUGCCCUGAUUGCGCCCACCCACCUCCCUCCGCCUUGUGCCUCAUUGGUUUGGGUGGCUGCUCCGCGCUCUUCUUUCCCUCCAGUCCUUCUUGUUCUCUUCUUCGGGCUGCUGCUGCUGCUGCUGUCUUCUUUUCAUCCAGUUGGGAACCCUGGAAGCAGGCGGCUGCUCCGUGGCGCUCCUCCAGAAAGCGCAGGGUUAACUGCCUCCGCGCCCUUCCGCCACCGAGACUCUCAGGAACAGAACUCUUCCACCUGCAGCCCCCUUUUGCCUGGCAGUUCUGCAUUGCAUCUGAUGGAAGUCGAAAGAGGAAAAAAAAAAAUGUUCAAACUCUUUGGAUGUUGGGAUAAACUAGCUUGAAUCUACUUGGGUCGCCUGCCUCUUCCUCCUCUUUCUUCGUUUCCACCUUUGCCGUGUGGCUUCUCGGAGUGUGCAGUUAAGUCAUCAGACCCAAGGUGCCUAGAGAACAGGAGGAAGCCUCGCCUGUCCUCCCCUGACAUGUGUGGCAUGCGGGGGUUCCCUAGGAGGUUUGCUUUACCUGGGUGGACUCAGGCGUCCUAAAUUUUAGCUCCGGGAAAGGGGGCUUUGUCUUUUAUCUUUUUUUUUUUUUUAACUGAUUCAUCAUCAGUUUUCUUGAAACCUCUUAUUGUUUCCCUUUUCCCCAAAUCGGGCAACUCUUCCUCUCACUAUGAUGGGCCCCUGGGCAUCAUGAACUUCAUUAUUCUUCACUGGCUGGAAUUGAAACUGCCCAUCUGUAGUGGUCCAGUGCGUUGACCAUGCACCUGAGAAUCCACGCGAGACGGAGCCCUCCCCGCCGGCCGGCCUGGACGCUUGGAAUUUGGUCCCUCUUCUGGGGAUGUAUCGUCAGCUCUGUGUGGAGUUCCUCUAAUGUAGCUUCCUCCUCCUCCUCCUCUUCCUCGCCGGGGUCUCACUCUCAGCACGAGCACCAUUUCCAUGGCAGCAAGCAUCACUCAGUGCCUAUUUCUAUCUAUCGCUCCCCUGUUUCCCUUCGAGGAGGGCACGGUGGGUCUCUCUGCUCUUUAUCCUUUUAAUGGGGCAUAGCAAUUCCUUAACCCACUCGUCUUUCAGUAGUGUCAAGGGUGGGAAAAGCAUACAAAAUUGAAUUUAGAAUGAUAAAAAAGCAUCGCAUGUGCAUGAGGGAAGAAAAUUUCCACUUUCUCUUAAAGGCUCACGUUGCCCAGUCUUCUGGGAAGGGUUCUCCUUACCUUAGCUCCCUCCAGCAUAACUGCACAAACACCCCUCUCUCCUUUGCAGCCCUCACCCCCUUUGAUGACACACAGCUUAUCAGACAAGACCCUAUGCUACAUAUUGAGGAAUCAUUCAUUCACCUUGCUUUCACCCUUCCUUUCUCUGGUCUCAUUUGAGUGCUAGUUGUGGAGAAAUAGCAGAUAGCAGGCAUCAUUCAGUCUUCAGCCUGAAGUUGAUUGAAUCGCUGUAAAGUUAGUUGUCUGUGUGGUAAAGGUCAGGGGAAAGUAGCUGAGUAUAAGAAGGCAGAAAAUAUAAUUAAUAACCAGAGGCCAUUAUUGUUCAAUUUGGCAGCUUCAUGUUUGCCCACAACUAGUUGAGAAAGCAGGGAUCACUAAAACUGGGCAUCUAAUAUUGCUAGCUACCAGAGAGGAAGCAAUAUGUGUAAGGCUGUCCAUUUAUACUUCACCAAAGUGUAAAUGAUAGUAAUUUUGAUUCCACCACUUAGGCAAUAAUCUUUCAGUUAAGGCAGAAUGAAUGGUCUCCUCUAAUCAAAACAGGUAUGCUAUGUUUUGCUCUGAACAACCCUCCUGCAUAGCUAUGGAAGGAAGAGAUCUGUGGUUCUUAAAAAUAUAUUCAGCUCUGAGCAGGCUGCCUCUAAAAGGGUAAUGUCUGCGGUUAAAGGUAGGAGCUUGCUGUAGUAAACUGUUCUUAGGAAAAGAGCUUCCUUAUUUGUUUACUAUGCACUCCAUUCUGAUGAUGAAGGGAAUAGGAAGCACAGAGAGUGACUGCAGGGGCAGACCUUCAGAGAGCAUCAGUAGGAACCACACUAGGGGUCCCUGCCUUACUUUUAUUUUAAAGACCUAUAGCAUGCAAACCCUGUUCCAAAGUUGAUUCUUUCCACUGUCUCUGAGCUGUGAGCUUCUGCACUGUGAUAUCUGUAGUGUGAAGUGGAAGCACACUAAGAAAAACGUCAAUACACACUGUGGCUCUUUCUCUCUUUAAAUUUUAUUUCAAGCAGCUCAGAGCUUGUAAGGUUGGUAGAAUGGCUUGAUGGGGAGGAGGGACUACUCAAAGGCUUGAUGCUGAUCUGGUGACUGUUUUCUCUGAGACUCCUGCUGGAUCUGGUAUAGACUCUGUCUGUCUCUCUCAAAAUAAAUAAAUGAAUAAAAUAAAGUAAAUAACAUAGGAAAACAACAGGUCC
Molecule: long non-coding RNA, 2517 nt
Filed under: Marmota monax (woodchuck)
Lineage: Eukaryota; Metazoa; Chordata; Mammalia; Rodentia; Sciuridae
Source: RNAcentral